Molecule: transfer RNA, 73 nt
Filed under: Cryptomonas sp. CCAC 1634B
Lineage: Eukaryota; Cryptophyceae; Cryptomonadales; Cryptomonadaceae
Description: tRNA-Trp
Rfam family: tRNA
About the family: Transfer RNA (tRNA) molecules are approximately 80 nucleotides in length. Their secondary structure includes four short double-helical elements and three loops (D, anti-codon, and T loops).
Source: RNAcentral
GCGCCUUUAGUUUAAAUGGCAGAGCGUAGGUCUCCAAAGCCUGUGGUUGAAGGUUCGAAUCCUUCAAGGCGUG